Molecule: ribosomal RNA, 405 nt
Filed under: uncultured bacterium
Lineage: Bacteria
Description: partial 16S ribosomal RNA
Rfam family: Bacterial small subunit ribosomal RNA
Source: RNAcentral
GAUGAACGCUAGCUACAGGCUUAACACAUGCAAGUCGAGGGACCGGCGCACGGGUGAGUAACACGUAUCCAACCUACCCUUUACUCGGGGAUAGCCUUUCGAAAGAAAGAUUAAUACCCGAUGGAAAGGAUGGGGAUGCGUUCCAUUAGGUUGUUGGUGAGGUAACGGCUCACCAAGCCUUCGAGGUAUAGGGGUUCUGAGAGGAAGGUCCCCCACAUUGGAACUCAGACACGGUCCCAACUCCUACGAGAGGCAGCAGUGAGUACUAUUGGUCAAUGGGCGUUAGACUGAACCAGCCAAGUAGCGUGAAGGAUGAAGGCUUAUGGGUCGUAAACUUCUUGUAUAUAAGAAUAUGUAUUAUAGGAAUAAGGAUCGGCUAACUCCGUGCCAGCAGCCGCGGUAAUU